GAUGAACGCUGGCGGCGUGCCUAAUACAUGCAAGUCGAGCGAACAGACGAGGAGCUUGCUCCUCUGACGUUAGCGGCGGACGGGUGAGUAACACGUGGAUAACCUACCUAUUAGACUGGGAUAACUUCGGGAAACCGGAGCUAAUACCGGAUAAUAUAUUGAACCGCAUGGUUCAAUAGUGAAAGACGGUUUUGCUGUCACUUAGAGAUGGAUCCGCGCCGCAUUAGCUAGUUGGUAAGGUAACGGCUUACCAAGGCAACGAUGCGUAGCCGACCUGAGAGGGUGAUCGGCCACACUGGAACUGAGACACGGUCCAGACUCCUACGGGAGGCAGCAGUAGGGAAUCUUCCGCAAUGGGCGCAAGCCUGACGGAGCCACGCCGCGUGAGUGAUGAAGGUCUUCGGAUCGUAAAACUCUGUUAUUAGGGAAGAACAAAUGUGUAAGUAACUAUGCACGUCUUGACGGUACCUAAUCAGAAAGCCCCGGCUAACUACGUG
This 497-nucleotide ribosomal RNA is filed under the name uncultured bacterium. RNAcentral's name for it is "partial 16S ribosomal RNA". It matches the Rfam family "Bacterial small subunit ribosomal RNA", at positions 28 to 507 of the family's 1533-position model. The record is from RNAcentral.